GCUUCUGCAGUCCCAGCUCCAGGUGAAGAAGGCAGCUCUCACUCAAGCCAAGAGCCAAAGGACAAAGCAAAGUACAGUCCUCGCUCCAGUCAUCGACCUGAAGCGAGGAGGCUCCUCAGAUGACCGACAGAUCGUAGACACGCCACCUCAUGUGGCAGCUGGGCUGAAGGUAAGCCGUACCCACCUGUGGUUUGAAGCAUUUUCCACGUUUCUUUAUUUUACAUGUAUGUUCCUCUCUUUAUGAGAUUUAUCUCAUGUGUGUGUGUGUGUGCGCGUGUGUGUGCGUGUGCGCGCGCGAGUGCUUGAGCGUGCUUGCUCACUCAUGCACACACCCAUGGAGGCCAGAGGAGGCCUUAGAUCUCUUA
This 365-nucleotide long non-coding RNA is filed under the name Rattus norvegicus (Norway rat). RNAcentral's name for it is "long non-coding RNA NONRATT012592". The record is from RNAcentral. Lineage: Eukaryota; Metazoa; Chordata; Mammalia; Rodentia; Muridae.